UGUUCACUGGGCUGUGGGGAUCUCUUUCCUCCUCAGCCAGGGCUUGAAGAUCAUCAUCAUAAGGACUGCCAUGAGUGGACAACCCUGCUUUCACACCUCAGACAAUC
This is a non-coding RNA of Onychomys torridus (southern grasshopper mouse), 107 nucleotides long. Lineage: Eukaryota; Metazoa; Chordata; Mammalia; Rodentia; Cricetidae. The record is from RefSeq and is a predicted model, not a curated record.